This 667-nucleotide ribosomal RNA is filed under the name uncultured Thiobacillus sp. Its description in RNAcentral is "bacterial SSU rRNA". It matches the Rfam family "Bacterial small subunit ribosomal RNA", at positions 9 to 669 of the family's 1533-position model. The record is from RNAcentral. Lineage: Bacteria; Pseudomonadati; Pseudomonadota; Betaproteobacteria; Nitrosomonadales; Thiobacillaceae.
GAGUUUGAUCAUGGCUCAGAUUGAACGCUGGCGGAAUGCUUUACACAUGCAAGUCGAACGGCAGCACGGGAGCUUGCUCCUGGUGGCGAGUGGCGAACGGGUGAGUAAUGCGUCGGAACGUACCGAGUAAAGGGGGAUAACGCACCGAAAGGUGUGCUAAUACCGCAUACGCCCCGAGGGGGAAAGCAGGGGAUCGUAAGACCUUGCGUUAUUCGAGCGGCCGACGUCUGAUUAGCUAGUUGGUGGGGUAAAGGCCUACCAAGGCGACGAUCAGUAGCGGGUCUGAGAGGAUGAUCCGCCACACUGGGACUGAGACACGGCCCAGACUCCUACGGGAGGCAGCAGUGGGGAAUUUUGGACAAUGGGGGCAACCCUGAUCCAGCCAUUCCGCGUGAGUGAAGAAGGCCUUCGGGUUGUAAAGCUCUUUCAGCCGGAACGAAACGGUACGCUCUAACAUAGCGUGCUAAUGACGGUACCGGCAGAAGAAGCACCGGCUAACUACGUGCCAGCAGCCGCGGUAAUACGUAGGGUGCGAGCGUUAAUCGGAAUUACUGGGCGUAAAGCGUGCGCAGGCGGAUUGUUAAGCAAGAUGUGAAAUCCCCGGGCUUAACCUGGGAAUGGCAUUUUGAACUGGCAGUCUAGAGUGUGUCAGAGGGGGGUGGAAUUC